Molecule: ribosomal RNA, 409 nt
Filed under: uncultured bacterium
Lineage: Bacteria
Description: bacterial SSU rRNA
Rfam family: Bacterial small subunit ribosomal RNA
Source: RNAcentral
GUGGGGAAUAUUGGGCAAUGGGGGAAACCCUGACCCAGCAACGCCGCGUGAGGGAAGAAGGUUUUCGGAUUGUAAACCUCUGUCCUAAGGGAAGAAGGAAGUGACGGUACCUUAGGAGGAAGCCCCGGCUAACUACGUGCCAGCAGCCGCGGUAAUACGUAGGGGGCGAGCGUUGUCCGGAAUUAUUGGGCGUAAAGGGUGCGUAGGCGGCGAAGCAAGUCAGAUGUGAAAGACCACGGCUUAACUGUGGGGGUGCAUUUGAAACUGUUUUGCUAGAGUGCAGGAGAGGGAAGCGGAAUUCCUAGUGUAGCGGUGAAAUGCAUAGAUAUUAGGAGGAACACCAGUGGCGAAGGCGGCUUUCUGGACUGUAACUGACGCUGAGGCACGAAAGCGUGGGGAGCAAACAGGA